Molecule: ribosomal RNA, 490 nt
Filed under: uncultured bacterium
Lineage: Bacteria
Description: partial 16S ribosomal RNA
Rfam family: Bacterial small subunit ribosomal RNA
Source: RNAcentral
GAUGAACGCUUGCGACAGGCUUAACACAUGCAAGUCGAGCGGCAGCAUGGUCUUAGCUUGCUAAGGCCGAUGGCGACCGGCGCACGUGUGAGUAACACGUAUCCAACCUGCCGUCUACUCUUGGACAGCCUUCUGAAAGGAAGAUCAAGACAAGAUGGCACCAUGAGUCGGCAUGUUCACAUGAGUAACGGUAUUCCGGUAGACGACGGGGGUGCGUUCCGUUAGAUAGUAGGCGGGGUGACGGCCGACCUAGACUUCGAUGGACAGGGGUUCUUUGAGGGAGGUCCCCCACAAUGGAACUGGGACACGGUCCAAAAGCGUACGGGCGGCAGCAGUGAGGAAUAGUGGUCAGUGGGCGCAGGCCUGAACCAGCCAAGUAGCGUGAAGGAGGACUGCUCUAUGGGUUGUAAACUUCUUUUAGAAAGGAAUAACGUCGGGUAUGUAUACCCGUUUGCCUGUACUUUAUGAAUAAGGAUCGGCUAACUCCGUG